This 67-nucleotide transfer RNA is filed under the name Krisna nigromarginata. RNAcentral describes it as "tRNA-Arg". The record is from RNAcentral. Lineage: Eukaryota; Metazoa; Arthropoda; Insecta; Hemiptera; Cicadellidae.
AACAUAGAAGUAAAAAAAAUACAUUUAAUUUCGACUUAAAAAUUUGGAUUAAUUAUAUCCCAUGUUU